RNAcentral lists this ribosomal RNA (369 nucleotides) under uncultured organism. RNAcentral describes it as "bacterial SSU rRNA". It matches the Rfam family "Bacterial small subunit ribosomal RNA", at positions 526 to 896 of the family's 1533-position model. The record is from RNAcentral.
CGGAGAGUGCGAACGUUGUUCGGAUUCACUGGGCGUAAAGGGCACGUAGGCGGCUCGGCAAAUCGGUCGUGGAAUCCCGACGCUUACCGUCGGAACGGCGGCCGAAAAUACCGGGCUCGAGGGCGUGAGGGGUCACUGGAACUCCUGGUGAAGCGGUGAAAUGCGUAGAUAUCAGGAGGAACGCCGGAGGCGAAAGCGAGUGACUGGCGCGUUCCUGACGCUGAGGUGCGAAAGCUAGGGGAGCAAACAGGAUUAGAUACCCUGGUAGUCCUAGCCGUAAACGAUGGACACUGAGUGGGGGAGGCUUGCCUUUCCCUGCUGCAGCUAACGCGUUAAGUGUCCCGCCUGGGGAGUACGGCCGCAAGGUUA